This is a small nuclear RNA of Rhinichthys klamathensis goyatoka, 134 nucleotides long. RefSeq annotates it as U11 spliceosomal RNA. The transcript has a single exon. Lineage: Eukaryota; Metazoa; Chordata; Actinopteri; Cypriniformes; Leuciscidae. The record is from RefSeq and is a predicted model, not a curated record.
CUCAAGGCAUCUGCCGUGAAUGGCAUAGUGUGGAAGGGAUUCUCUGACACAGUUACUGAAUUGCUAUCAAGAGAUUUCAGAUGGACAAUUAAAAAAAAUCAGGGCUGCCAAUGACCGCUGUUCUUGUCACUCCA